AGCUCCAAUAGCGUAUAUUAAAGUUGUUGCUGUUAAAGCGCUCGUAGUCGAAUUUUGGGCCUGACUGGUUGGUCUCGUCGCAAGACGUGCACUGAUCUGGUUGGGCCUCUCCUUCUGUAAAACCAUCGUACCCUUAACUGGGCGCGGUGGGGAUGCAGGACUUUUACUUUGAAAAAAUUAGAGUGUUCAAAGCAGGCUUAUGCCUGAAUACAUUAGCAUGGAAUAAUAGAAUAGGACUUUGGUUCUAUUUUGUUGGUUUCUAGAACCGAGGUAAUGAUGAAUAGGAACAGUGGGGGGCAUUAGUAUUUAAUCGUCAGAGGUGAAAUUCUUGGAUUGAGGAAAGACUAACUUCUGCGAAAGCAUUUGCCAACGAUGUUUUCA
This 381-nucleotide ribosomal RNA is filed under the name uncultured Chytridiaceae. Its description in RNAcentral is "SSU rRNA". It matches the Rfam family "Eukaryotic small subunit ribosomal RNA", at positions 587 to 972 of the family's 1831-position model. Lineage: Eukaryota; Fungi; Chytridiomycota; Chytridiomycetes; Chytridiales; Chytridiaceae. The record is from RNAcentral.